Molecule: ribosomal RNA, 471 nt
Filed under: uncultured bacterium
Lineage: Bacteria
Description: partial 16S ribosomal RNA
Rfam family: Bacterial small subunit ribosomal RNA
Source: RNAcentral
GACGAACGCUGGCGGCGUGCUUAACACAUGCAAGUCGAACGAUGAAGCCUAGCUUGCUAGGUGGAUUAGUGGCGCACGGGUGUGUAAUACGCGUGUAAACUCCCCUUAACUCUGGGAUAAGACUGGGAAACUGGGUCUAAUACCGGAUAUGACCAAUCCUCGCACGGGGUGUUGGUGGAAAGCGUUAUGUAGUGGUUAUAGAUGGCCUCACGGCCUAUCAGCUUGUUGGUGUGGUAGCGGCCCACCAAGGCGACGACGGGUAGCCGGCCUGAGAGGGUGACCGGCCACACUGGGACUGAGACACGGCCCAGACUCCUACGGGAGGCAGCAGUGGGGAAUAUUGCACAAUGGGCGGAAGCCUGAUGCAGCGACGCCGCGUGAGGGAUGACGGCCUUCGGGUUGUAAACCUCUGUUGGCAGGGAAGAAGAGAAAUUGACGGUACCUGCAGAGAAAGCGCCGGCUAACUACGUG